GAUGAACGCUAGCGGAGGCUUAAUACAUGCAAGUCGAGCGGGAUUCUCCUUCGGGAGAUGAGAGCGGCGCACGGGUGAGUAACGCGUACGUAACCUGCCUUACAGAGGGGAAUAGCCCUGGGAAACUGGGAUUAAUACUCCAUAGUAUAUAGAUGGCGCAUGCUGUUUAUAUUAAAGUUGAGGCGCUGUAAGAUGGGCUGCGUGCUAUUAGCUAGUUGGUGAGGUAACGGCUCACCAAGGCUACGAUAGCUAGGGGCGUGAGAGCGUGGCCCCCCACACGGGUACUGAGACACGGACCCGACUCCUACGGGAGGCAGCAGUAAGGAAUAUUGGACAAAUGGUCGAAAGACUGAUCCAGCCAUCCCGCGUGCAGGAUGACUGCCCUA
RNAcentral lists this ribosomal RNA (386 nucleotides) under uncultured bacterium. Its description in RNAcentral is "bacterial SSU rRNA". It matches the Rfam family "Bacterial small subunit ribosomal RNA", at positions 28 to 419 of the family's 1533-position model. The record is from RNAcentral.